AAUUCGAUGCAACGCGAAAACCUUACCACCUUUGACAUGUACGGAAUCCUUUAGAGAUAGAGGAGUGCUCGAAAGAGAGCCGUAACACAGGUGCUGCAUGGCUGUUCGUCAGCUCGUGUCGUGAGAUGUUGGGUUAAGUCCCGCAACGAGCGCAACCCUUGUCAUUAGUUGCUACAUUCAGUUGGGCACUCUAAUGAGACUGCCGGUGACAAACCGGAGGAAGGUGGGGAUGACGUCAAGUCCUCAUGGCCCUUAUAGGUGGGGCUACACACGUCAUACAAUGGAUGGUACAAAGGGUCGCCAACCCGCGAGGGGGAGCCAAUCCCAUAAAGCCAUUCGUAGUCCGGAUCGCAGUCUGCAACUCGACUGCGUGAAGUCGGAAUCGCUAGUAAUCGUGGAUCAGAAUGUCACGGUGAAUACGUUCCCGGGUCUU
Molecule: ribosomal RNA, 433 nt
Filed under: uncultured Acidovorax sp.
Lineage: Bacteria; Pseudomonadati; Pseudomonadota; Betaproteobacteria; Burkholderiales; Comamonadaceae
Description: bacterial SSU rRNA
Rfam family: Bacterial small subunit ribosomal RNA
Source: RNAcentral